RNAcentral lists this ribosomal RNA (473 nucleotides) under uncultured bacterium. RNAcentral describes it as "bacterial SSU rRNA". It matches the Rfam family "Bacterial small subunit ribosomal RNA", at positions 335 to 802 of the family's 1533-position model. The record is from RNAcentral.
ACUCCUACGGGAGGCAGCAGUGGGGAAUAUUGCACAAUGGGCGCAAGCCUGAUGCAGCCAUGCCGCGUGUGUGAAGAAGGCCUUCGGGUUGUAAAGCACUUUCAGUCGUGAGGAAGGUAGUGUAGUUAAUAGCUGCAUUAUUUGUACGUUAGCGACAGAAGAAGCACCGGCUAACUCCGUGCCAGCAGCCGCGGUAAUACGGAGGGUGCGAGCGUUAAUCGGAAUUACUGGGCGUAAAGCGCAUGCAGGUGGUUUGUUAAGUCAGAUGUGAAAGCCCGGGGCUCAACCUCGGAAUAGCAUUUGAAACUGGCAGACUAGAGUACUGUAGAGGGGGUAGGAAUUUCAGGUGUAGCGGUGAAAUGCGUAGAGAUCUGAAGGAAUACCGGUGGCGAAGGCGGCCCCUGGACAGAUACUGACACUCAGAUGCGAAAGCGUGGGAGCAAACAGGAUUAGAUACCCCUGGUAGACUGUCA